GACGAACGCUGGCGGCGUGCUUAACACAUGCAAGUCGAACGGAAAGGCCCUGCUUUUGUGGGGUGCUCGAGUGGCGAACGGGUGAGUAACACGUGAGUAACCUGCCCUUGACUUUGGGAUAACUUCAGGAAACUGGGGCUAAUACCGGAUAGGAGCUCUUGCUGCAUGGUGGGGGUUGGAAAGUUUCGGCGGUUGGGGAUGGACUCGCGGCUUAUCAGCUUGUUGGUGGGGUAGUGGCUUACCAAGGCUUUGACGGGUAGCCGGCCUGAGAGGGUGACCGGCCACAUUGGGACUGAGAUACGGCCCAGACUCCCACGGGAGGCAGCAGUGGGGAAUAUUGCACAAUGGGCGGAAGCCUGAUGCAGCAACGCCGCGUGCGGGAUGACGGCCUUCGGGUUGUAAACCGCUUUCGCCUGUGACGAAGCGUGAGUGACGGUAAUGGGUAAAGAAGCACCGGCUAACUACGUG
This 468-nucleotide ribosomal RNA is filed under the name uncultured bacterium. Its description in RNAcentral is "partial 16S ribosomal RNA". It matches the Rfam family "Bacterial small subunit ribosomal RNA", at positions 28 to 507 of the family's 1533-position model. The record is from RNAcentral.